UACGUAGGGUGCAAGCGUUGUCCGGAUUUAUUGGGCGUAAAGAGCUCGUAGGCGGUCUGUAGCGUCGGAUGUGAAAACCCAGGGCUCAACCCUGGGCCUGCAUUCGAUACGGGCAGACUAGAGUGUGGCAGGGGAGACUGGAAUUCCUGGUGUAGCGGUGAAAUGCGCAGAUAUCAGGAGGAACACCGGUGGCGAAGGCGGGUCUCUGGGCCAAUACUGACGCUGAGGAGCGAAAGCGUGGGGAGCGAACAGG
Molecule: ribosomal RNA, 253 nt
Filed under: uncultured bacterium
Lineage: Bacteria
Description: partial 16S ribosomal RNA
Rfam family: Bacterial small subunit ribosomal RNA
Source: RNAcentral